CACUCAUCAGUCAUCAUUCACCGUUACUAUUGCGCACUUCUCCCUCUGCAGUCUUCACUGCUUCCCUUCCUCUCCUUUUUUUUAGGGUUUUUUCUUUCGUCGUCGCCCUUUCGCUGCCUCCAUUUCUGAAUUUUUGAAUCUUAUCGCUAUCAAUCCGUCUCUUUCUCCUUGUUUGGGGAUAUGGCUACAAAAGCGCCACCAAUCACAGGUUUACGCCUGGAUGCUUCCGCGCCAUCUACAACAAACGGCGCUUCUCAUAGGCUUUAUGUUGUUAGAGUUUGUAUGAGGUCUUCUUUCUUUUGCAACAAUGUGUAUGCUUCAAAUUAGAUACAUAAUGCAUUGCUUACAGUUGGAGCAUUGAGAUUGAGUGGAGUUCGGUCGAUGUAGUGAUUGUAUUGGUAACGGCAGACAAGGUGUUUGGGCCGAAUGCGUCAACGGAGGAGGUUUACAAUAUUGCUGCUCGGCCUAUUGUUAAAAUUUCAGUGGAUGGUGUUAUGGAACCGUGUUUGCUAAUGGUGUCACCAGUAGUCGAAAAACACACACAUGUUGAAGAAAUUUUGUUGGCUCUAGGAAGAUAUGAGGAGAUAUGAUGGUAUAUCCUGGACAUAGUGGCCGGUGGGAGGCACUCUCAAAUAAAUAUCGCCAAAAGAGGAAAGAGUGCAGCGUUGAUGAGUUAAUUGGUUUAAUGUUUAGAGAAUAAGUGGUAGAGAAGUGUGAUUGAGUGAUUCUGGUUACAGUUACACUAUACGACUAUAUAGACACUUGAAUUUGUGUAAGCUACUUAAAGUGAUUUUGGUUACAGUCGAGGGUUGCUUGAAACAAGGUUCUUGAGUCUAAUGUGACUAAUACCUAAGCUCGGAUGUAAUAAACGCCUUUUGGUAAGUAGUGCCACGGUUCUUUUUAGGGGAACAUACAACAACUAUUGAUUUUAUGUUCCAAGGAAUACCCAUCGUACCUUUUGGAUCCCUUAUGGCUUAUGUAUUAGGGAUAUAUAUGUAUGUAACCUAGAUUAAAUAAACGGUUUUUUCAUGAAA
This is an RNA transcript of Spinacia oleracea (spinach), 1034 nucleotides long. RefSeq lists it as uncharacterized. The transcript is spliced from 5 exons. NCBI's taxonomy places the organism in Eukaryota, Viridiplantae, Streptophyta, Magnoliopsida, Caryophyllales, Amaranthaceae. The record is from RefSeq and is a predicted model, not a curated record.